AUGCUCCAGAUUCCUUACCCAUCAGACAUAAACAUUGAUCUGAGUGGUGAAAAAAGGAGGAAAAGUAAAAUUAAAACUUGACUGAAAGUCUUUUGUGACACCCAAGCUAGUUUCAAAAGAAG
RNAcentral lists this small nucleolar RNA (122 nucleotides) under Echinops telfairi (small Madagascar hedgehog). RNAcentral describes it as "Small nucleolar RNA SNORA61 (ENSETEG00000024445.1)". Lineage: Eukaryota; Metazoa; Chordata; Mammalia; Afrosoricida; Tenrecidae. The record is from RNAcentral.